UUCAAGUUUGUGGCAGAGGGGGCUCCUGUCACCUCCCUGUCUGUCAUCACUGCAUCUUCACCCUCCACGGCUCUGACAGCCAGGUUUCUCCCCAGUUUUUCUUACGAGUUUGCAGGUGCUGGCUCCUUGCUCCACCGUUGGGGUUGGAAAAAUGUGAGCUGACAGUGUCCCCUCAGAGCUACGAGACAUCUCACCCAGCAGCAUCUCAACGUGGUGGUGAUGGGCUGAUGAGAAGUGCCCCCAGCCUUGUCCCACCACCCCAGCUCCACUUCCAUCCCCAGAAGAGGAUCCCAGCACCAAGCAGAGAUCUGAAAUGUUCAUUCCAGCCCAGGAAUUUGGGACUUCCAGCAGCAAACCCAAACCACUGCAAAAUCUCUUGGAAACGGGGAAAAAGAUCAGCCUUCCUUCCACCUCGCUGCUUGUAGAAAGCUGCCCAAACCACCAACGAAGCCUUCGCAGUGAUCGCUCCCGCUGGCACAGCUGAGUCCUGCCAUCUAAAUGAAACUGAAAAGCUGAGGAAAUAAUAAAAUUGAAAAAAAAGCGCUGAGUGAGAAGAGGCAGCUCCUCAAAAGCUGGAGAACCACGUGCUGUGGGUGGUGGAACCCCAGUCCCCUUCCCAAGUGGGGAGAACUUGGGGGUACAGAGAGAGAAGCCCCCAAAAGGCAGCCCUGGAGCUGAAAGAGGGUCCCCUGGAGCCACGGAUGGGAAUCCUGCCCCACACCACAGGAAAUCAAACUGCACCUUGGCGUUGUGAAACGAGGAUGAGUAUGGAAAAGGCUGGUGGCAGAGCUGACUCCAAGGGAGAGCCCCCCAGGAUGGUGGGGGACAGUAGG
Molecule: long non-coding RNA, 833 nt
Organism: Calidris pugnax (ruff)
Lineage: Eukaryota; Metazoa; Chordata; Aves; Charadriiformes; Scolopacidae
Exons: 4
Source: RefSeq, a predicted model, not a curated record